RNAcentral lists this transfer RNA (70 nucleotides) under Metaphycus eriococci. RNAcentral's name for it is "tRNA-Gln". The record is from RNAcentral. Lineage: Eukaryota; Metazoa; Arthropoda; Insecta; Hymenoptera; Encyrtidae.
UAUAUAUAAGUGUAAUAAAAGCACAAAAAUUUUUGAAAUUUUUAGAAAUGAUAAAAAUCAUUAUAUAUAA